UACGAAGGGGGCUAGCGUUGCUCGGAAUCACUGGGCGUAAAGCGCACGUAGGCGGAUUGUUAAGUCGGGGGUGAAAUCCUGGAGCUCAACUCCAGAACUGCCUUCGAUACUGGCGAUCUUGAGUCCGGGAGAGGUGAGUGGAACUCCGAGUGUAGAGGUGAAAUUCGUAGAUAUUCGGAAGAACACCAGUGGCGAAGGCGGCUCACUGGCCCGGUACUGACGCUGAAGUGCGAAAGCGUGGGGAGCAAACAGG
RNAcentral lists this ribosomal RNA (253 nucleotides) under uncultured bacterium. RNAcentral's name for it is "partial 16S ribosomal RNA". It matches the Rfam family "Bacterial small subunit ribosomal RNA", at positions 524 to 776 of the family's 1533-position model. The record is from RNAcentral.